This 263-nucleotide unclassified non-coding RNA is filed under the name plant metagenome. RNAcentral describes it as "partial contains small subunit ribosomal RNA, internal transcribed spacer 1, and 5.8S ribosomal RNA". The record is from RNAcentral.
GUUCCGUAGGUGAACCUGCGGAAGGAUCAUUAUUGUAUAACCGAGGUGCGAGGGCUGUCGCUGACCCGAAAGGUCGUGCACGCCCGAGUGCCCUCACACACAUCCAUCUCACCCCUAUGUGCACCACCGCGUGGGUCCCCCUUUGGCUUGUUCGGAGGGGGGCUUACGUUUUCACACAAACUUUGUAUGCAGUGUAGAAUGAAUUUUUUGUUUUUGCGAUCACGCAAUCAAUACAACUUUCAACAACGGAUCUCUUGGCUCUC